RNAcentral lists this ribosomal RNA (253 nucleotides) under uncultured bacterium. RNAcentral describes it as "partial 16S ribosomal RNA". It matches the Rfam family "Bacterial small subunit ribosomal RNA", at positions 524 to 776 of the family's 1533-position model. The record is from RNAcentral.
UACGAAGGGUGCUAGCGUUGUUCGGAAUCACUGGGCGUAAAGCGCGCGUAGGCGGCUUCUCAAGUCAGGGGUGAAAUCCUUGGGCUCAACCCAAGAAUUGCCUCUGAAACUGUGGAGCUGGAGUACUGGAGGGGAUAGCGGAAUUCCUAAUGUAGAGGUGAAAUUCGUAGAUAUUAGGAGGAACACCGGUGGCGAAGGCGGCUAUCUGGACAGUAACUGACGCUGAGGCGCGAAAGUGUGGGGAUCAAACAGG